Molecule: unclassified non-coding RNA, 178 nt
Filed under: rhizosphere metagenome
Description: partial ribosomal RNA internal transcribed spacer region
Source: RNAcentral
AAUGAAGCCGGGAAACCGGUCCUUCUAACCCUUGAUUAUAAUAAUUUGUUGCUUUGGUGGGCCGCGCAAGCACCGGCUUCGGCUGGAUCGUGCCCGCCAGAGGACCACAACUCUGUACCAAAUGUCGUUUGAGUACUAUAAAAUAGUUAAAACUUUCAACAACGGAUCUCUUAGUUCU